This is a long non-coding RNA of Osmia lignaria (orchard mason bee), 422 nucleotides long. RefSeq lists it as uncharacterized. NCBI's taxonomy places the organism in Eukaryota, Metazoa, Arthropoda, Insecta, Hymenoptera, Megachilidae. The record is from RefSeq and is a predicted model, not a curated record.
CAAGUUCAAUGGAACUCAGUUGACACAACGUUCAAUCGUCGGUACUGUGCAGAUUGCCGGUUUUAGGUAUUGGUAGAUACCGUUAUCUUGUCAUCGUUCAUUCGCGGCUCCAGUUUGGAUUAUUAUACCGACACUCGAAAGCUUAAGUCCACCUUUAGCCAAUUUAACAAAACAAACAUUGGAAAUGCCGAGUUCUAAAAUCAGAAAUCUAAGUAAAUCCACGUUUCAUCAAUUUGGCGAAGUAAAAAUUGAGAGUCCCAGGAGCCACAAGCCAGUUUAAGUCCCAUGCGUCGCCGAUUUUCCAUACGUAUAUUAAACCCUAUACAUAUGUAUACUAAUUCAUUCCCAAAAUAAAAAGCUUGAUAUCACGAAAGUACAUUCGAAAUGAUUAAGUCCAAUGGCAGGAUGGUUAAAAUAACCCA